UGAAGAAGACGAAAGAGAG
Molecule: small RNA, 19 nt
Filed under: Arabidopsis thaliana (thale cress)
Lineage: Eukaryota; Viridiplantae; Streptophyta; Magnoliopsida; Brassicales; Brassicaceae
Description: ATSL239610
Source: RNAcentral